AUGAAAAACAGUAUUUUUCUUUUCGUUUCCUCAGAGCUGAAUGACACUGCAACCCAAAAUCACAAAUCGGGUUUAGGUUCCUGGUGGUGCCCGCUUCCUCUUCUAGUUUGUUUAGUCACUGACUUGAUUCCUGUGGGCCGCUGGGCUCUGCAAGUAGGCUCGGCGCGCCAUUGCAAUGCGGGAGCUCCUCAGCUCCGGGGUAAACAGAAACCAGCUGUAACACCGGGUCAGAGCGCAUUCAAAUGAGCCACUUUGAAGGAGCGGCGCCCAGGCCCCAGGCCCGGUUGUGAAGCCCCGCGGAGUUCAGGGCCGGGCCGCGUGACCGCCU
This 328-nucleotide long non-coding RNA is filed under the name Fukomys damarensis (Damara mole-rat). RNAcentral describes it as "lncRNA (ENSFDAG00000025053.1)". Lineage: Eukaryota; Metazoa; Chordata; Mammalia; Rodentia; Bathyergidae. The record is from RNAcentral.